Molecule: ribosomal RNA, 440 nt
Filed under: uncultured bacterium
Lineage: Bacteria
Description: partial 16S ribosomal RNA
Rfam family: Bacterial small subunit ribosomal RNA
Source: RNAcentral
CCUACGGGUGGCAGCAGUGGGGAAUAUUGCACAAUGGGGGAAACCCUGAUGCAGCGACGCCGCGUGAGGGAAGAAGUAUUUCGGUAUGUAAAGCUCUAUCAGCAGGGAAGAAAAUGACGGUGCCUGAUUAAGAAGCCCCGGCUAACUACGUGCCAGCAGCCGAGGUAAUACGUAGGUGGCAAGCGUUAUCCGGAUUUACUGGGUGUAAAGGGCGGGUAGGCGGGUCUGCGAGUCAGAUGUGAAAACCACGGGCUCAACCUGGGGCCUGCGUUUGAACCGGUAGUUCUUGAGUACGGGAGAGGAGGACGGAAUUCCCGGUGUAGCGGUGGAAUGUGUAGAUAUUAGGAAGAACACCAGUGGCGAAGGCGGUCUGCUGGGCAGCUACUGACGCUGAGGCGCGAAAGCGUGGGGAGCGAACAGGAUUAGAUACCCCUGUAGUC